GACGAACGCUGGCGGCGUGCUUAACACAUGCAAGUCGAACGGAAAGGCCCUGCUUUUGUGGGGUGCUCGAGUGGCGAACGGGUGGGUAACACGUGAGUAACCUGCCCUUGACUUUGGGAUAACUUCAGGAAACUGGGGCUAAUACCGGAUAGGAGCUCCUGCUGCAUGGUGGGGGUUGGAAAGUUUCGGCGGUUGGGGAUGGACUCGCGGCUUAUCAGCUUGUUGGUGGGGUAGUGGCUUACCAAGGCUUUGACGGGUAGCCGGCAUGAGAGGGUGACCGGCCACAUUGGGACUGAGAUACGGCCCAGACUCCUACGGGAGGCAGCAGUGGGGAAUAUUGCACAAUGGGCGGAAGCCUGAUGCAGCAACGCCGCGUGCGGGAUGACGGCCUUCGGGUUGUAAACCGCUUUCGCCUGUGACGAAGCGUGAGUGACGGUAAUGGGUAAAGAAGCACCGGCUAACUACGUG
RNAcentral lists this ribosomal RNA (468 nucleotides) under uncultured bacterium. Its description in RNAcentral is "partial 16S ribosomal RNA". It matches the Rfam family "Bacterial small subunit ribosomal RNA", at positions 28 to 507 of the family's 1533-position model. The record is from RNAcentral.